GGGUGAUUUAGCAAGUGAUAAAUUUAGAGUGCUGACAGACAUAGCAGGUCUAAAUCUGAAGCGAAAUGACAUGUAAACACUGUAUUAUGGUUGUGCGGAUAACAUGCAUUGACGUGUAUAUAUGUAAUUUUAUGGUUGAUGUUUGAUUUCAUGUUUACAAUUCUAUAAUAUAUAUAUGUGGUGCAUGUAUGAUGUGUGUGUGUACAUAUAUAUAUGAUGUUUAGCACUGUGUUUGGU
Molecule: long non-coding RNA, 237 nt
Filed under: Sorghum bicolor (sorghum)
Lineage: Eukaryota; Viridiplantae; Streptophyta; Magnoliopsida; Poales; Poaceae
Description: long non-coding RNA (SBIC_LNC008835)
Source: RNAcentral